UGCUAUCUGCAGUCGAGCGACUGAUUAGAAGCUUGCUUCUAUGACGUUAGCGGCGGACGGGUGAGUAACACGUGGGCAACCUGCCUGUAAGACUGGGAUAACUUCGGGAAACCGAAGCUAAUACCGGAUAGGAUCUUCUCCUUCAUGGGAGAUGAUUGAAAGAUGGUUUCGGCUAUCACUUACAGAUGGGCCCGCGGUGCAUUAGCUAGUUGGUGAGGUAACGGCUCACCAAGGCAACGAUGCAUAGCCGACCUGAGAGGGUGAUCGGCCACACUGGGACUGAGACACGGCCCAGACUCCUACGGGAGGCAGCAGUAGGGAAUCUUCCGCAAUGGACGAAAGUCUGACGGAGCAACGCCGCGUGAGUGAUGAGGGCUUUCGGGUCGUAAAACUCUGUUGUUAGGGAAGAACAAGUACAAGAGUAACUGCUUGUACCUUGACGGUACCUAACCAGAAAGCCACGGCUAACUACGUGCCAGCAGCCGCGGUAAUACGUAGGUGGCAAGCGUUAUCCGGAAUUAUUGGGCGUAAAGCGCGCGCAGGCGGUUUCUUAAGUCUGAUGUGAAAGCCCACGGCUCAACCGUGGAGGGUCAUUGGAAACUGGGGAACUUGAGUGCAGAAGAGAAAAGCGGAAUUCCACGUGUAGCGGUGAAAUGCGUAGAGAUGUGGAGGAACACCAGUGGCGAAGGCGGCUUUUUGGUCUGUAACUGACGCUGAGGCGCGAAAGCGUGGGGAGCAAACAGGAUUAGAUACCCUGGUAGUCCACGCCGUAAACGAUGAGUGCUAAGUGUUAGAGGGUUUCCGCCCUUUAGUGCUGCAGCUAACGCAUUAAGCACUCCGCCUGGGGAGU
This 850-nucleotide ribosomal RNA is filed under the name uncultured bacterium. Its description in RNAcentral is "bacterial SSU rRNA". It matches the Rfam family "Bacterial small subunit ribosomal RNA", at positions 49 to 881 of the family's 1533-position model. The record is from RNAcentral.